RNAcentral lists this transfer RNA (71 nucleotides) under Camelus bactrianus (Bactrian camel). It matches the Rfam family "tRNA". From Rfam's summary of the family: Transfer RNA (tRNA) molecules are approximately 80 nucleotides in length. Their secondary structure includes four short double-helical elements and three loops (D, anti-codon, and T loops). The record is from Rfam by way of RNAcentral. RNAcentral also lists the same sequence under 2 other names. Lineage: Eukaryota; Metazoa; Chordata; Mammalia; Artiodactyla; Camelidae.
AGGGGUAUAGCUCAAUGGCAAGCAGGUGCUUAACAUGCACGAGGUCCUGGGUUCAAUCUCCAGUAUCUCCA